UACGGAGGGUGCGAGCGUUGUCCGGAAUCACUGGGCGUAAAGGGCGCGUAGGUGGCCUGUGGAAGUCUGCGGUGAAAGCCCGGCGCUCAACGCCGGGUCGGCCGUGGAUACUCUCGGGCUCGAGCUUACUAGAGGCAGAUGGAAUUCCGGGUGUAGCGGUGGAAUGCGUAGAGAUCCGGAAGAACACCGGUGGCGAAGGCGGCCACCUGGACGGGUACUGACGCUGAGACGCGAAAGCUAGGGGAGCGAACGGG
RNAcentral lists this ribosomal RNA (254 nucleotides) under uncultured bacterium. RNAcentral describes it as "partial 16S ribosomal RNA". It matches the Rfam family "Bacterial small subunit ribosomal RNA", at positions 524 to 776 of the family's 1533-position model. The record is from RNAcentral.